RNAcentral lists this ribosomal RNA (254 nucleotides) under uncultured bacterium. RNAcentral describes it as "partial 16S ribosomal RNA". It matches the Rfam family "Bacterial small subunit ribosomal RNA", at positions 524 to 776 of the family's 1533-position model. The record is from RNAcentral.
UACGGAGGGUGCAGCGUUUGUCCGGAAUCAUUGGGCGUAAAGGGCGCGUAGGUGGCUUCUCAAGCGUGCGGUGAAAGCCUGGGGCUCAACCCCGGGUCGGCCGUGCGAACUGGGGGGCUGGAGCACUGUAGAGGCAGGCGGAAUUCCGGGGUGUAGCGGUGGAAUGCGUAGAGAUCCGGAAGAACACCGGUGGCGAAGGCGGCCUGCUGGGCAGUUGCUGACACUGAGGCGCGACAGCGUGGGGAGCAAACAGG